CUUGCAUGCCCUUGGAUGCUGCACAUCGAUGGAUUGUCCAACGCUAGAGGCACUAGGGCUGGGUUGACCCUCACUGGUCCUGACAGCAUCGUGCAUGGUAGAGCACGCCAUCUGUUUCAGCUUCAAAAUUUUAAAUAAUAAAGUGGAGUAUGAAGCACUCUUGGCUGGGCUGAUGCUCACCUGAAAACUUGGAGUCCACACCUUUAGGUCCUUAGUGACUCCCAACUGGUGGUUAGUGAGAUUCGAGCAGAGUAUGUGGCGUAGGCAUCUUCCAUGGGGAAAUAUCUAUAGAAGGUACAAGAAAUAAUUCUUUUUUAAUAAAUUCUAAAUUUUGUAGAUAUCCA
Molecule: long non-coding RNA, 344 nt
Filed under: Elaeis guineensis (African oil palm)
Lineage: Eukaryota; Viridiplantae; Streptophyta; Magnoliopsida; Arecales; Arecaceae
Description: long non-coding RNA (EGUI_LNC044583)
Source: RNAcentral